AUGGAAAACCUGUGGACUUGCUGGUCUAUGAUUGAUGGGUUAUUCAGGGUUAUUUCAGGCCACUUUGGAAAUUCACCCAGGAUGUUUCAGUUGGUGCAGAUUUCAGAUACAUCAUUGCUUCAGAUGAAUGGCCACCACCCCAAAACCACUGCCCAUCUCAACUCAUCCUUCCUUGGGAUUUUCAGCUGCACUUCAUCAUAUAUCAUCACCUGUUAGCUGGUGCUGGCCACCCCACCUCACACUUCAUCACUUCUUGCAUUCUUUAUUGCUUGUCUUGUUGACAAGAUUUUUCCAAAUUCUUCUUGGAUUCUAAAGAACCAAAGUAAGUGUGAGUGGGGGGCAUAAAAUCUGUUAUUUCCUACUAAGUUAGACAAUUUGCUUUCACUUUUUCAGAUUAGGUUCAGACACAUUUCCUUAAUGUGUCAGGAAAGCUGGGCUUACCUCCUGGCUCUUGUUUCACCUCUGAGUGAAGUAUUUUUGGGUCUGUUUUCCCUAGGUCUGUUCCUGGAUUCUUUUUUGGAUCAAAACCAAACUUUGGGUUCUCUUUUGUUUGUGCCAACCACAAGCUUUUAAUAAUCUCCCUCUUCUCUAGCACUUCUCUUUUUCAUACACCCAAGACAUCUAUUGAUGGGAUUCAUGAAACUGUUUUUCUGUACUCUCUUUCUUUAUUAUGAUGUAUUUCUUACCAUUUUCAAAGAUCUCUUUUGAAAUCUUAAUCUUUUUUGGUGACUUAUAUAUAUACCUUGAAUAUAUAUUAUAUAUAUAACUUGAUAUUAUAUUAAUGGACAUAUGCUGCUGAGCCACAAACCAAAUACAGUGUCUAGAUACAGAGUUCCUAAAGAAAGCUGAGGAAUUAAAGAGGAUUGUCAUCUCUUGUCUACCUGGGUGGUAGGUGGUGAAGUAGAGAAUGAUGAAGAAAACUAAAUCCAGUUUGUUGGAUCAGGAAGUUAAUUAGAUCAAAGUAUUUCAUCUUCAUUGCAGUCCUAUAAUUUGUUUUUUUUACCAUAGAUAAGGAAACUGAGGUGCAAGAUGUUGAAAGCCUUCCUUGGAUCUCCUGGUUAGGAACUAACUACCCUACUACAUCAACCCAAACAGCUAUUUAAAAACAUUUGCAAUA
RNAcentral lists this long non-coding RNA (1117 nucleotides) under Canis lupus familiaris (dog). RNAcentral's name for it is "lncRNA (ENSCAFG00000050237.1)". The record is from RNAcentral. Lineage: Eukaryota; Metazoa; Chordata; Mammalia; Carnivora; Canidae.